UUGAAACCCAUAUUUCUGUUCGCUCUUUUACGAUUUCGAAGUCGAGUAUGUAAAAAAAUUCGGGGGAUUCAACACGAUUUGGGGAUUAAACACUAAUUGGGGACUGAACAUUGUUUUAGAAGAGGGGAUAUGGAGUGUUUAGGGAGGAGAACACUGAUUAGGGGAAUUUUUUGGAAUUUCUUCUUCUUUCAAUAAGAAUAUACUGUUUCGGCUGAUACCGAAGUUUUCGAUUCGAAAAAAUCUUUUCGAGUUCGAGCUCGUCGUGUUCGAGUAGAUUCGAGGCCGUCGAUACCCAGUUCACUGUACCCAAAACAGGCCAAAGCCCAACGGAAUCCUCUUCUCGAGACAACCUGCAACAAUAUAUGAAUAAAAUUUGCUGGGCCGAAGCCCAACAGUAGCAGAACAACGACAGUCCUCAAUGGGCUGAACCCAUUUAAAUCAUUUCACUCCUCUUUUUUUUUUUUUUUUUUUUUUUACUUUGUGCAUUUAAUUUGUACUGUAUGACUAACACUUUACUUGUUUUAUUUGCUUAGAUUAGGUGAACCUUAGCGGUACUAGUGGGUUUGAUUUUAGCAAAAUGGGUAGGAAGAAACAAUAAUUAAUUCCUUAGUUUCAUUUUCUUCUUUCAUAUUAAA
Long non-coding RNA from Lycium barbarum (goji berry), 635 nucleotides. RefSeq lists it as uncharacterized. The transcript is spliced from 2 exons. Lineage: Eukaryota; Viridiplantae; Streptophyta; Magnoliopsida; Solanales; Solanaceae. The record is from RefSeq and is a predicted model, not a curated record.